This 75-nucleotide transfer RNA is filed under the name Dehalococcoidia bacterium. Its description in RNAcentral is "tRNA-Asn". It matches the Rfam family "tRNA". Rfam says of the family: Transfer RNA (tRNA) molecules are approximately 80 nucleotides in length. Their secondary structure includes four short double-helical elements and three loops (D, anti-codon, and T loops). Further hydrogen bonds mediate the characteristic L-shaped molecular structure. tRNAs have two regions of fundamental functional importance: the anti-codon, which is responsible for specific mRNA codon recognition, and the 3' end, to which the tRNAs corresponding amino acid is attached (by aminoacyl-tRNA synthetases). tRNAs cope with the degeneracy of the genetic code in two manners: having more than one tRNA (with a specific anti-codon) for a particular amino acid; and 'wobble' base-pairing, i.e. permitting non-standard base-pairing at the 3rd anti-codon position. The record is from RNAcentral. Lineage: Bacteria; Bacillati; Chloroflexota; Dehalococcoidia.
UCCCCGGCAGCUCAACGGUAGAGCGGGCGGCUGUUAACCGCUAGGUUGUAGGUUCGAGUCCUGCCUGGGGAGCCA